RNAcentral lists this non-coding RNA (108 nucleotides) under Streptomyces zinciresistens K42. Its description in RNAcentral is "SAM (S-adenosyl methionine) riboswitch aptamer". It matches the Rfam family "SAM (S-adenosyl methionine) riboswitch aptamer". Rfam says of the family: SAM-IV is a mRNA element that regulates gene expression via direct sensing of S-adenosylmethionine (SAM or AdoMet). Lineage: Bacteria; Bacillati; Actinomycetota; Actinomycetes; Kitasatosporales; Streptomycetaceae. The record is from Rfam by way of RNAcentral. RNAcentral also lists the same sequence under 1 other name.
GGUCAUGAGCGUCAGCGACAAGCCCUGGCUCGCUGGCCGGCAACCCUCGCACCGCGGUGGGGUGCCCCAGGUGACGACCGGACCGGACGACCUCGGUAAGCGCGAAGG